AUACGUAGGUGGCGAGCGUUGUCCGGAAUUACUGGGCGUAAAGGGUGCGUAGGCGGAAUCUUAAGUCAGAUGUGAAAUACCCGGGCUUAACCUGGGAAUGGCAUUUGAAACUGGGGUUCUAGAGUGCAGGAGAGGGAAGCGGAAUUCCUAGUGUAGCGGUGAAAUGCGUAGAUAUUAGGAAGAACACCAGUGGCGAAGGCGGCUUUCUGGACUGUAACUGACGCUGAGGCACGAAAGCGUGGGGAGCAAACAGGAUUAGAUACCCUGGUAGUCCACGCUGUAAACGAUGAGUGCUAGGUGUGGGGGGUUUCGACACCCUCUGUGCCGCAGUAAACGCAAUAAGCACUCCGCCUGGGGAGUACGGUCGCAAGACUAAA
Molecule: ribosomal RNA, 377 nt
Filed under: uncultured bacterium
Lineage: Bacteria
Description: bacterial SSU rRNA
Rfam family: Bacterial small subunit ribosomal RNA
Source: RNAcentral